RNAcentral lists this transfer RNA (65 nucleotides) under Parribacus antarcticus. RNAcentral describes it as "tRNA-His". The record is from RNAcentral. Lineage: Eukaryota; Metazoa; Arthropoda; Malacostraca; Decapoda; Scyllaridae.
GUUUAAGUAGUUUAACUAAAAACGUUAGUUUGUGGUGCUAAAAUUAUAAUGUUUUAUCUUGGACU